This 26-nucleotide unclassified non-coding RNA is filed under the name Mus musculus (house mouse). RNAcentral describes it as "oocyte_clustered_small_RNA2356". Lineage: Eukaryota; Metazoa; Chordata; Mammalia; Rodentia; Muridae. The record is from RNAcentral.
AGUGCAUGGGAGCAUCCGGGGGAGGG